GAUGAACGCUGGCGGCGUGCCUAAUACAUGCAAGUCGAGCGAACAGACGAGGAGCUUGCUCCUCUGACGUUAGCGGCGGACGGGUGAGUAACACGUGGAUAACCUACCUAUAAGACUGGGAUAACUUCGGGAAACCGGAGCUAAUACCGGAUAAUAUAUUGAACCGCAUGGUUCAAUAUUGAAAGACGGUUUUGCUGUCACUUAUAGAUGGAUCCGCGCCGCAUUAGCUAGUUGGUAAGGUAACGGCUUACCAAGGCAACGAUGCGUAGCCGACCUGAGGGGGUGAUCGGCCACACUGGAACGGAGACACGGUCCAGACUCCUACGGGAGGCAGCAGUAGGGAAUCUUCCGCAAUGGGCGAAAGCCUGACGGAGCAACGCCGCGUGAGUGAUGAAGGUCUUCGGAUCGUAAAACUCUGUUAUUAGGGAAGAACAAAUGUGUAAGUAACUAUGCACGUCUUGACGGUACCUAAUCAGAAAGCCACGGCUAACUACGUG
RNAcentral lists this ribosomal RNA (497 nucleotides) under uncultured bacterium. RNAcentral describes it as "partial 16S ribosomal RNA". It matches the Rfam family "Bacterial small subunit ribosomal RNA", at positions 28 to 507 of the family's 1533-position model. The record is from RNAcentral.